UGAAUACGAGACGCUAAGGCGUCGAAGUAGUGUAUGUCAUACUUCCAAGAAAAGCUUGCACUGUCAUAAGUAAAAAAUGCCUGUACCAUAACCGACACAGGUGGGUAGGUAGAGUAUACUAAGGGGCGCGAGAUAACUCUCUCUAAGGAACUCGGCAAAAUAACUCCGUAACUUCGGGAGAAGGAGUACCUUAUUCUAUAAGGUUGCAAUAACAAGAUCCAAGCAACUGUUUAUCAAAAACACAGGUCUCCGCUAAGUCGUAAGACGAUGUAUGGGGGCUGACGCCUGCCCAGUGCCAGAAGGUUAAAGAAGUCGGUUAGCAUUAGCGAAGCUGGUAACUGAAGCCCUGGUGAACGGCGGCCGUAACUAUAACGGUCCUAAGGUAGCGAAAUUCCUUGUCGGGUAAGUUCCGACCCGCACGAAAGGCGUAAUGAUUUGGAUACUGUCUCGGAGAGGGGCUCGGUGAAAUAGACUUGUCUGUGAAGAUGCGGACUACCUGCACCAGGACAGAAAAGACCCUAUGAAGCUUUACUGUAACUUGAAAUUGAAAUUGGACUUUAUUCGCGCAGUAUAGGUGGGAGGUGUUGAUUAUAAUCUUGCGGGAUUAUUGGAGCCAUCAGUGAGAUACCACUCUUGUAAUGUUAGAUUUCUAACUUUGAAUCAUUAUCUGGUCAAAGGACAGUUUCAGGCGGGCAGUUUGACUGGGGCGGUCGCCUCCCAAACGGUAACGGAGGCGUACAAAGGUUUCCUCUGAACGGGUAGAAAUCGUAUCUAGAGUGUAAAGGCAUAAGGAAGCUUGACUGUGAGACCUACAAGUCGAACAGGGACGAAAGUCGGUCUUAGUGAUCUGACGGUACUGAGUGGAAAGGCCGUCACUCAACGGAUAAAAGUUACUCUAAGGAUAACAGGCUGAUCUCCCCCAAGAGUUCACAUCGACGGGGAGGUUUGGCACCUCGAUGUCGGCUCAUCGCAUCCUGGGGCGGUAGUACGUCCCAAGGGUUGGGCUGUUCGCCCAUGAAAGCGGUACGCGAGCUGGGUUCAGAACGUCGUGAGACAGUUCGGUCCAUAUCCGGUGUAGGCGUUAGAAUAUUGAGAGGAGCCUUCUUUAGUACGAGAGGACCGAGAAGGACAUACCUCUGGUGUACCAGUUAUCGUGCCAACGGUAAACGCUGGGUAGCUAUGUAUGGAGUGGAUAACCGCUGAAAGCAUCUAAGUGGGAAGCCCACCUCAAGAUAAGUAUUCUCAUC
Molecule: ribosomal RNA, 1247 nt
Filed under: metagenome
Description: bacterial LSU rRNA
Rfam family: Bacterial large subunit ribosomal RNA
Source: RNAcentral